UACAGAGGAUUCUUAUUCCCCAGAAAA
Molecule: non-coding RNA, 27 nt
Filed under: Rattus norvegicus (Norway rat)
Lineage: Eukaryota; Metazoa; Chordata; Mammalia; Rodentia; Muridae
Source: RNAcentral